ACACAUGCAGUCGAGGGGUAACAUAGAAAAGCUUGCUUUUCUGAUGACGACCGGCGCACGGGUGCGUAACGCGUAUACAACCUACCUUUUAGCGGGGAAUAGCCCAGGGAAACUUGGAUUAAUGCCCCAUAGUAUAUAGACUUCUCCUGAAGUUUAUAUUAAACAUUUAUGGCUAUUAGAUGGGUAUGCGUCCUAUUAGUUAGUUGGUAAGGUAACGGCUUACCAAGGCAGCGAUAGGUAGGGGUCCUGAGAGGGAGAUCCCCCACACUGGUACUGAGACACGGACCAGACUCCUACGGGAGGCAGCAGUGAGGAAUAUUGGACAAUGGGCGAGAGCCUGAUCCAGCCAUGCCGCGUGCAGGAAGACUGCCCUAUGGGUUGUAAACUGCUUUUACAGAGGAAGAACCACCCCCACGUGUGGGGGUUUGACGGUACUCUGCGAAUAAGGAUCGGCUAACUCCGUGCCAGCAGCCGCGGUAAUACGGAGGAUCCAAGCGUUAUCCGGAAUCAUUGGGUUUAAAGGGUCCGUAGGCGGGCAGUUAAGUCAGUGGUGAAAGUCUUCCGCUCAACGGGAGAACUGCCAUUGAUACUGAUUGUCUUGAGUUAUUAUGAAGUGGUUAGAAUGAGUAGUGUAGCGGUGAAAUGCAUAGAUAUUACUCAGAAUACCGAUUGCGAAGGCAGAUCACUAAUAAUAUACUGACGCUGAUGGACGAAAGCGUAGGUAGCGAACAGGAUUAGAUACCCUGGUAGUCUACGCCGUAAACGAUGGUUACUAGCUGUUCGGCCCAAUUGAGGGCUGAGUGGUUAAGCGAAAGUGAUAAGUAACCCACCUGGGGGAGUACGUUCGCAAGAAUGAAACUCAAAGGAAUUGACGGGGGCCCGCACAAGCGGUGGAGCAUGUGGUUUAAUUCGAUGAUACGCGAGGAACCUUACCAGGGCUUAAAUGUAGUCUGACAGGUCUGGAAACAGACUUUUCUUCGGACAGAUUACAAGGUGCUGCAUGGUUGUCGUCAGCUCGUGCCGUGAGGUGUCAGGUUAAGUCCUAUAACGAGCGCAACCCCUGUGGUUAGUUGCCAGCGAGUAAUGUCGGGAACUCUAGCCAGACUGCCGGUGCAAACCGCGAGGAAGGUGGGGAUGACGUCAAAUCAUCACGGCCCUUACGUCCUGGGCCACACACGUGCUACAAUGGUAGGGACAGAGAGCAGCCACUUCGCGAGAAGGAGCGAAUCUACAAACCCUAUCACAGUUCGGAUCGCAGUCUGCAACUCGACUGCGUGAAGCUGGAAUCGCUAGUAAUCGCAUAUCAGCCAUGAUGCGGUGAAUACGUUCCCGGGCCUUGUACACACCGCCCGUCAAGCCAUGGAAGCCGGGGGUACCUGAAGUCGGUCACCGCAAGAGCC
This 1400-nucleotide ribosomal RNA is filed under the name Salegentibacter mishustinae. RNAcentral describes it as "bacterial SSU rRNA". It matches the Rfam family "Bacterial small subunit ribosomal RNA". Lineage: Bacteria; Pseudomonadati; Bacteroidota; Flavobacteriia; Flavobacteriales; Flavobacteriaceae. The record is from RNAcentral.